RNAcentral lists this ribosomal RNA (245 nucleotides) under uncultured Actinomycetales bacterium. RNAcentral describes it as "partial 16S ribosomal RNA". It matches the Rfam family "Bacterial small subunit ribosomal RNA", at positions 796 to 1041 of the family's 1533-position model. The record is from RNAcentral. Lineage: Bacteria; Bacillati; Actinomycetota; Actinomycetes; Actinomycetales.
CACGCCGUAAACGGUGGGUGCUAGGUGUGGGGAACCUUCCACGUUCUCCGUGCCGCAGCUAACGCAUUAAGCACCCCGCCUGGGGAGUACGGCCGCAAGGCUAAAACUCAAAGGAAUUGACGGGGGCCCGCACAAGCGGCGGAGCAUGCGGCUUAAUUCGAUGCAACGCGAAGAACCUUACCUGGGCUUGACAUAUAGGGAAAUCUCAUAGAGAUAUGAGGUCCGCAAGGGUCCUAUACAGGUGG